Molecule: long non-coding RNA, 3835 nt
Filed under: Ornithorhynchus anatinus (platypus)
Lineage: Eukaryota; Metazoa; Chordata; Mammalia; Monotremata; Ornithorhynchidae
Description: lncRNA (ENSOANG00000037372.1)
Source: RNAcentral
CGGCCGGGUCCGCUCGGGAAUCCGGACCCCGGCUCUCUGCCUCCUGUUACCGUGGCAACAGGGCAAGCGCUCAGCCGCGCGCCAGCGCCGCCAACCGCCGGCCCCCGCCGCUUCCCCCCGCCCCGCCCCCCUCCCGGCGCAGACGCGGCGCCGAUCCGGCCUCCGGUCCCCAAGCCAGCGCCGGAGGGAAGCGCUUCCGCCGCGCCCGGGAUCCGGGGGCCGCCGCGCCCCCAUCGACCGACUCGGGAUGGACCGGGAGAGGGAGACGGCGCGCGCGAAGAGAGUGAGAGACUGUAUUGAUGCCUACUUGUUUUGUUGUCCGUCUCCCCCUUUUAGACUGCGAGCCCGUUGUUGGGCGGGGGUUGUCUAUCUCUUGCCCAACUGUCCAUUCCUCCGCACACGGUAAGCGCUCAAUAAAUGCGACCGAAUGAAUGGCUACAUGAGAGAGCGCGCGUGCGCGUAUCUCCGUCCGUGGGUCCCCGCGCCUCCUCAUCUUGCUCUCUUGCCGGUCCGGGCCCGUGCGUGGGGCUGCCCCGCCACCUGGCUCCGGGGUCACACCUUGUCCUCUCGGCUCUGUCCCCCGGUGCCGCUGGGCGAAGUCUGGGGCUGCAGAGAGAGCAGGGUCUCGAAGAGGGUCCGGGCCUCGGUGAUCUGGGAGGCCACGUCGGCGUUGGGGUGCUGCCCGAAGGCCUCGGGCGGGUCCAUGCUGGGCAGCAGGCCGAUGUACUCCUUGUAGGACGCCAGGUUCCCAUCCUUGGGGAUGUAGUACGUGUCCAGGACCGACAGCCUGGGGAGGAGUGCCAAGCGCUUAGUCCGGGGCUCCGCACGCAGUAAGCGCUCAGUGAACACAAUUGAACGAAUGGGGGUUCGGGGCAGCGGGGACUCAGGGGACCCGGCCUCCGCCCCCCCGGAGCUCAACCGAGGCCUCUGGAGCUCGGGGUCCCACCUCCGCACCCCGUCUCUGGCCUGGGACGGUCCGGCUGCCGGGCCCCGGCUCCGCUGGACCGAAAGCCCUUCGGGGCGGGGAUCGCGUCUACCUAGCCCAUUGCGCCGGGCACACCUAACCGCUUAGAACAGCGCUCUGUCCCCAGUAGGCUGUGAGCCCCUGGAGGGCAGGAAUCGUGUCUGCUGACUCGAUCGUGGUCUCCCGAACGCCUAGCGCGGUGCUCUGCACGUAGUAGACUGUGAACUCCUCGAGGGGAGGGAUGGUAUCUACUAGAGCUAUUGCGCUCUCCCGAGCGCGUGCUACGGUAAUAAUAAUAACUGUGGUGUCUGUCAAGCGUCUGCUAGGCGCCAGGCACUGUACCAAGCAAAUCGGGUUGGACACGGUCCCCGUCCGACACGGGGCUCCCCGUCGUCAUCCCCAUUUGGCAGAUGAGGGGGACCGAGGCCCGGAGAAGUGAAGCGACUUGCCCAGGGUCACCCGGCGGACCAGGGACGAGAACCCUGAUCCUCUGACUCCCAGGCCCGGGCUCUUUCCGCUAGGCCUCGCCGCCGGUCCGGGGCUCCGCACCCAGAAGGCGCUCAACGGAGCCCAUCGCUGGGCGGACGGCCAGCCGGCUCCCCGGGGUCCCUGGGCCUCGGGCUGGCCGGCGGAAGGGGGUGGAGGCGCCCGCCCCCCGGGCCCAGGCCCCAGGCUGACCGGUGGAAGGGGUCGGUGAUGCUGGCCUCGCAGAAGUAGUCGUUGAUAUAGGUGCUGAGCAGGCGCCGGUCCCAGUCGUCGGUCACGUGGCCCCCGUAGUUCACCCCGGCGAUGAGGUAUUUGAGGGCAUCCCACGGCGUCUCCUCGUACUCAUCCAGGUAGAGGCUCAGCAGGUUCUCCGACACCUGCGCGCGCCGGGAUGCUUCGCUUUAGGGGAGGGGGCCGGGCGGCCUGGGGUCUUUCCACUGGGCCACACUGCUUCUCCCCACGCCGGGACGGUUUGGCUUCGGGGAGGAGGUUGGGCGACCCGGCCUCUUUCCGCUAGUUCACACUGCUUCUCCCCGGUCAGGGAGGGCGUCAGGGGCGGUGGGAGAUCCGUGGCCCUUUUAACCAACGCCGCCAGCGUCUGCUGUGCCUUUUUCAUUCUCUUUAACGGCACCUGUGAAGCGCUUACUGGGUGCCAGACACCUCGCCGAGUGCUGGGGCCGAUCCAGGAUCAUCAGCUGGGACGGAGUCCCUCUCCCCCACGGGACUUGCGGUUGAGAUCGGAGGAGGAGGGGGAUCCCAUCCCCAUUCUACAGGAGGGGAAACCGAGGCCCAGAACAGUGUGGGCAGGGAACGCCCCCGAUUACCGUUGCAUCGUCCUCUCCCAAGCGCUCAGUACAGUGCUCCGCGCACAGGGAAUGCUCGAUGAAUACGAUUGACUGACUGACUGAAUGAACGAAUGAAGUGACUCGCUCAAGGUCAACAAGCAGAAGGGUGGCCAAACUGGGAUGAGGACCCAGGGCCCCCGACUCUCGGCCCCGGGCUCUCGAAGCGGCGUGGCUUUGUGGGAAGAGCCCGGGCUUGGGAGUCAGAGGGUCGUGGGUUCUAAUCCCGGCUCUGCCAAAUGGCUGCUGCGUGACCUCGGGCGAGUCACUUGACUUCUCUGGGCCUCAGUUCCCUCAUCUGUAAAAUGGGGACGAAGACUGUGAGCCCUACGUGGGACAAUCUGAUUACCUUGUAUCUACCCUAGCGCUUACAGCAGUGCUUGGCACAUAGUAAGCGCUUAAGGAAUACCAACAGUAUCAUCUCCAGGGGGCCGUACUGCUUCCGGGGGGGGGGUCCGGGUUGUAUUUCGGGGGGCGGCGGGGAGGGGUCCUCCAGCACCUCAAAGUCGGAGUCGUUGAAGCCGUAGACGAUGUUCCAUCCCAGCUGCAGGAACUUUUUCCUCUCGAGCAGCACCGAGUGGAAGAAGCAGAGGGCGAAGAGCAGCUUCUUGUACUUGGCCGGCUUGGCGCAGCGGGUGAACUGGCUCUCGGUCACCAGCUGGUACAGGCGCUUCAUGUUGGCCUUGAGGCCCUGCGGGCGAAUGGGGUGGGCUCCAAGGGGACUCUCUGCCACCCUCCCCCCCCCGCACAGCCGACCCGACCCCAUCACCUCGUCUCUACCCCAGUGCUUAGAGCAGCGCCUGGCGCAGAGUAAGCGCUGAACAAACGCCACGGUUAUCGCUAUCAAGCGGCGGAAUGUCCUGCGCGCUUACCGUGGGCACAGCACUGGACUAAGCGCUUGGGAGAGGGUGAUAGGACAGGCCCAUCUCCUCCAAGAGGCCUUCCCGGACUAAGCCCUCCUCUCCUCUUCUCCCACUCCCUUCCGCGUCGCCCGGACUCGCUCCCUUUAUUCGUCCCCCCGGCCCGGCCCCACGGCGCUCAUGUCCGUAUCCGUCACCGAUCUAUUUAUACUCAUGUCUGUCUCCCCCCGCCCAAGGCUGGCAGCUCGUCGUGGGCAGGGAAUGUGUCUUUUUAUUGUUGUAUUGUCGUCUCCCCAGCGCUCGGUACAGUGCUCUGCACACAGUAGGCGCUCAAGUACGACAGAAGGAACGAACGAAGAGUUAGCGGUCGCGUUCCCGGCCCGUAACGGGCUCGCAGUCUAGAGGGGGGAGGAGGACGUUAAUCGGGGGUCUGUACUGAGCGCUUUCUGUGAGCGGAGUACUGUACUAAACGCUUGGGAGAGGAUGAUGCGACGGAGUCGGUGGACACGUUCCCAGCCCGUAGAACGGUGCCUGGCACAGAGUGAGGGCUGAGCCGAUUCCACAGUUAUAAUCAUUAUCAGAGGUGUGUCCCGAGCGCUUACUCCGUGCAGAGCACUGGAGCGAGCGCUCGGGAGAGGACAAUAGGACGGAAUUAACAGAUGCGUUCCCGGCCCCUAACGAGC